Gossypium raimondii (Peruvian cotton) is the source of this 1011-nucleotide long non-coding RNA. RefSeq lists it as uncharacterized. The record is from RefSeq and is a predicted model, not a curated record. NCBI's taxonomy places the organism in Eukaryota, Viridiplantae, Streptophyta, Magnoliopsida, Malvales, Malvaceae. The transcript has 2 exons.
UCAGGUCGGACGUUUGGGUCAACCCCAAAAUGAAGUCAUUUUAGGCCUUUUGAGACCAAGCCAAAAUGGCGUUGUCUCACAGGCCCUAUUUAACUAAAAAAGAAUCUAAAAAAUCAUUUUAACAUCUUAAAAAAUUCUUUUCCUUUUUCUUUUCUCUCAAACCCCCUUCUCCUCCGGCCACAAGGUCGGCGCACAUCUGCUACGGCCAUUGGUCAUCAGCGUUGGUGACUACCGCCUCCGGCGGCUGAAAAAUUCCUAAAAAAUCCCUUUUGUGCCCCAUUUUCACGUGGAUUCCAGAUCUGGGAUUUAAAUCCCCAAAAACCCAGUUGAUGUUCAACUAUCAGUCAAGAAACCCUUCGCCUCUCCUUUUGCAACAAGAGCCUCGACGGAACCCUAGGGGUUCCGAGGCUUCUCAAGUUAGCGGAAAGGGGAGUUCCACAACAACACUUUAAUAGGUAAAUCCAAAAAACUUGAAUAUUUUGUUGUGAUUUUUUUUUAUUUUUUUCAUAUUUUACGAAAUUAAAAAAAAAAGAACUACCUUUGUUAUUUUUUUAUUUUAUUUCGAUUUCCCCUCUCUCCGUCGAGGUCGUCGACGAACCCCAAUGGGUUCAGAGACCCUUUGAACAGGCAAAGAGCCAUUGACAAUAGUGGUGGAAGAUGAAGUGACGAGGUGAUGGUGGCAAAGACGAGGCGGCAGUGUCAGGCCUCAGAUGGCACCCUGCUGACAUGGUAAGGGGAGCUGCGGCUGGAGACUUUUAGGGGGAGCUAGGGUUUCUGAAAUUUUUUUAAGUUUGGGCUUGGGGGCUUAGGUAAUUUGUGCUUUAGAGUUUUGUAUUUGGGCUUUUUAUUAAAUGACUUUUAUUUAUUUAUUUUUUUGUUUUUGUUUUGGUUUGGGUUUGGGCCGGAUGAAUUUUUCCUACUACAGCAUCCUUUUCAAUUUUUAAAUUUUUAUUGAAAUUUUUAUUUUGUUCAAAAUGAUAGUUAUUAAAUUCAUUUGAUUAAAUUCUCAUA